GGAGUGAAAGGCUAAUCAAACCCCGUAAUAGCUGGUUCUCUCCGAAAUAGCUUUAGGGCUAGCGUCGGGUGAGUACUCCGAGGAGGUAGAGCACUGAUAGGCUUAGGGUCCCUAACCGGAUACCAAAACCUGUUAAACUCCGAAUGCCUCGGAUCCAUUACCCCGGCAGUCAGUCGAUGAGUGAUAAGAUCCAUCGUCGAGAGGGAAACAACCCAGAUCACCGACUAAGGUGCCUAAAUACCGUUCAGUGGUAAGGAGGUGAAGUGACAUAGACAGUGAGGAUGUUGGCUUAGAAGCAGCCACCAUUUAAACAGUGCGUAACAGCUGACUCAUCGAGUUACUUCGCGCCGAAAAUGAUUGGCGAUCAAACGGUAUACCGACGUCGUGAAUGUCUUCGGACAUGGUAGGAGAGCGUAGUCUUUGCAUCGAAGCUGUUCUGUAAAGAGCGGUGGAGCGGAGACUAGCGAGAAUGCAGACAUGAGUAGCGAUAAACAAAGUGAGAAUCUUUGUCUCCGUAAACCUAAGGUUUCCUGGGCCAGGCUCGUCCUCCCAGGGUUAGCCGGGACCUAAGGCGAGGCCGAAAGGCGUAGUCGAUGGAUAACAGGUUAAUAUUCCUGUGCUAAUGCGCAACAUGGGACGCAUGGCAGAAAGGUGACACACACAAUGAUAUGUGAGUCUAGGCUUCGGCCGAAACACGUCACCCGCAGCUGUGCCGAGAAAACCGCGCAGGCCCGUACCGUAAACCGACACAGGUAGGUGAGUCGAAUAGACUAAGGAGCGCGAGAGAAAUCUCUCCAAGGAACUCGGCAAAUUAGCCCCGUAACUUCGGAAGAAGGGGUGCCCAUUUCGGUGGGCCACAGUAAAUUGGGACUGGCGACUGUUUACCAAAAACACAGCUCUCUGCAAAGUCGUGAAGACGACGUAUAGGGAGUGACACGUGACCAAUGCGAAAAGAUUAAGGUGACUUGUUAGCCCUUGAGGCGAAGCUCGGAGCCCAAGUCCUCGUGAAUGUCGGCCGUAACUAUAACGGUCCUAAGGUAGCGAAAUUCCUUGUCGGGUAAGUUCCGACCUGCACGAAUCGUGCAACGACCGGUCCGCUGUCUCGGAGAGAAUCUCGGCGAAGUUGUAAUUGCGGUGAAGAUGCCGCAUACCCGCAGUAGGACGGAAAGACCCUGUACACCUUUACUAUAAGCAAGUAUUGGCUUCUGAUUAGUGAUGCGUAGCGUAGGUGGGAGACUUUGAAGUGAUGGCUUAGGUUGUCAUGGAGUCGAAAUGUGAAACACCACUCUUUAUUAAUUAGGAUUCUAACAACGAUUUCUCUGAAGCGAGACGUUGAACAGUGCUUGCGGGUUAGUUUGACUGGGGCGGUUUCCUCCCAAAAAGUAACGGAGGAGCACUAAGGUACCUUCAGCAUGGUUAGCAACCAUGCGUCGAGCGUAUGCGUAGAAGGGUGCUUGACUGCGAGACCUACAAGUCGAGCAGGUACGAAAGUAGGUGCAAAUGAUCCGGUGGUAGAACGUGGAAUUGCCAUCGCUCAACGGACAAAAGGUACGUCAGGGAUAACAGGCUGAUCGCGCCCAAGAGUUCAUAUCGACGGCGC
This 1600-nucleotide ribosomal RNA is filed under the name marine metagenome. Its description in RNAcentral is "bacterial LSU rRNA". It matches the Rfam family "Bacterial large subunit ribosomal RNA", at positions 818 to 2514 of the family's 2925-position model. The record is from RNAcentral.